RNAcentral lists this ribosomal RNA (322 nucleotides) under uncultured eukaryote. RNAcentral describes it as "partial 18S ribosomal RNA". It matches the Rfam family "Eukaryotic small subunit ribosomal RNA", at positions 1470 to 1796 of the family's 1831-position model. The record is from RNAcentral.
CCCUUAGAUGUUCUGGGCCGCACGCGCGCUACACUGAUACGUUCAACGAGCUCCUUGACCGAGAGGCCCGGGUAAUCUUUGAAACCGUAUCGUGAUGGGGAUAGAACAUUGCAAUUAUUGUUCUUCAACGAGGAAUGCCUAGUAAGCGCGAGUCAUCAUCUCGCGUUGAUUACGUCCCUGCCCUUUGUACACACCGCCCGUCGCACCUACCGAUUGGAUGGUCCGGUGAAGCCUCGGGAUUGUGGUUCUUGCCGCUUUAUUGUGGCGUGACCGCGAGAACUUGUCUAAACCUUAUCAUCUAGAGGAAGGUGAAGUCGUAACA